Molecule: ribosomal RNA, 397 nt
Filed under: uncultured bacterium
Lineage: Bacteria
Description: partial 16S ribosomal RNA
Rfam family: Bacterial small subunit ribosomal RNA
Source: RNAcentral
AUACGUAGGGGGCGAGCGUUGUCCGGAAUGAUUGGGCGUAAAGGGCGCGUAGGCGGCCCGGUAAGUCUGGAGUGAAAGUCCUGUUUUUAAGAUGGGACUUGCUUUGGAUACUGUCGGGCUUGAGUGCAGGAGAGGUAAGUGGAAUUCCCAGUGUAGCGGUGAAAUGCGUAGAGAUUGGGAGGAACACCAGUGGCGAAGGCGACUUACUGGACUGUAACUGACGCUGAGGCGCGAAAGUGUGGGGAGCAAACAGGAUUAGAUACCCUGGUAGUCCACACUGUAAACGAUGAAUGCUAGGUGUAGGGGGUAUCGACCCCUUCUGUGCCGCAGUCAACACAAUAAGCAUUCCGCCUGGGGAGUACGGCCGCAAGGUUGAAACUCAAAUGAAUUGACGGGG